AUAUCAGUCAUGCAUAGCAUAUCAAUAAGCGGAGGAAAAGAAACUAACAAGGAUUCCCUAGUAACGGCGAGUGAAGCGGGAAGAGCUCAAAUUUGAAAUCUUCAAGGUUCUACCUUGACGAAUUGUAGUUUAUAGAAGUGUUUUCUGUUAGUGGAGUGGCAAAAGUUCUUUGGAAUAGGACAUCAUAGAGGGUGAGAAUCCCGUAUUUGGUCAUUCCUUCCUAGCGUUGUGAUACACUUUCAACGAGUCGGAUUGUUUGGGAAUGCAGUCCAAAAUGGGUGGUAAAUUUCAUCUAAAGCUAAAUAUUGGCGAGAGACCGAUAGCGAACAAGUACCGUGAGGGAAAGAUGAAAAGAACUUUGAAAAGAGAGUUAAACAGUACGUGAAAUUGUCAAAAGGGAAGCGUUUGACACCAGUGUUGUUUUUCCGAAAAUCAAUUACGAAUGUUUUAUUUUUGAGGAGUUAUGACUUCAUCGGCUUGCUUCUCUCCUUAUCGAAACUUUCUUAAUGCACUUUUCGGUUAACAAGUCAACAUCAAUUUCUUUUGUUGUAAAAGGGUAUGAGGAAGGUGGCUUUCUUUUCGGAGAAAGUGUUUAUAGCCUUGUAGCCUCUGCAAUCGGAGAGAUUGAGGUCUGCAGCGUAGAUCCUUCGGGGUUAGAUACGUUUGUGCUAAGUUAUAGCUUUUCAUAGACAACUUGUUGACUAUGUUAGUCUUGUAGCUUACUCGCUUUGACGCUAUUUUACCUACGCUUAGGAUGUUGAUCUCUCACAGUCGAGC
This 777-nucleotide ribosomal RNA is filed under the name uncultured Neocallimastigales. RNAcentral describes it as "partial large subunit ribosomal RNA". It matches the Rfam family "Eukaryotic large subunit ribosomal RNA", at positions 22 to 645 of the family's 3401-position model. Lineage: Eukaryota; Fungi; Neocallimastigomycota; Neocallimastigomycetes; Neocallimastigales. The record is from RNAcentral.